UUGGGGGCGUGCUUAACACAUGCAAGUCGAACGGCAAGGCCCUUCUUUUGUGGGGUGCCCGAGUGGCGAACGGGUGAGUAACACGUGAGUAACCUGCCCUUGACUUUGGGAUAACUUCAGGAAACUGGGGCUAAUACCGGAUAGGAGCUCCUGCUGCAUGGUGGGGGUUGGAAAGUUUCGGCGGUUGGGGAUGGACUCGCGGCUUAUCAGCUUGUUGGUGGGGUAGUGGCUUACCAAGGCUUUGACGGGUAGCCGGCCUGAGAGGGUGACCGGCCACAUUGGGACUGAGAUACGGCCCAGACUCCUACGGGAGGCAGCAGUGGGGAAUAUUGCACAAUGGGCGGAAGCCUGAUGCAGCAACGCCGCGUGCGGGAUGACGGCCUUCGGGCUGUAAACCGCUUUCGCCUGUGACGAAGCGUGAGUGACGGUAAUGGGUAAAGAAGCACCGGCUAACUACGUGCCAGCAGCCGCGGUGAUACGUAGGGUGCGAGCGUUGUCCGGAUUUAUUGGGCGUAAAGGGCUCGUAGGUGGUUGAUCGCGUCGGAAGUGUAAUCUUGGGGCUUAACCCUGAGCGUGCUUUCGAUACGGGUUGACUUGAGGAAGGUAGGGGAGAAUGGAAUUCCUGGUGGAGCGGUGGAAUGCGCAGAUAUCAGGAGGAACACCAGUGGCGAAGGCGGUUCUCUGGGCCUUUCCUGACGCUGAGGAGCGGAAGCGUGGGGAGCGAACAGGCUUAGAUACCCUGGUAGUCCACGCUGUAAACGGUGGGUACUAGGUGUGGGGUCCAUUCCACGGGUUCCGUGCCGUAGCUAACGCUUUAAGUACCCCGCCUGGGGAGUACGGCCGCAAGGCUAAAACUCAAAGGAAUUGACGGGGCCCCGCACAAGCGGCGGAGCAUGCGGAUUAAUUCGAUGCAACGCGUAGAACCUUACCUGGGUUUGACAUGGAUCGGGAGUGCUCAGAGAUGGGUGUGCCUCUUUUGGGGUCGGUUCACAGGUGGUGCAUGCCUGUCGUCAGCUCGUGUCGUGAGAUGUUGGGUUAAGUCCCGCAACGAGCGCAACCCUUGUUCACUGUUGCCAGCACGUUAUGGUGGGGACUCAGUGGAGACCGCCGGGGUCGACUCGGAGGAAGGUGGGGAUGACGUCAAGUCCUCAUGCCCCUUAUGUCCAGGGCUUCACGCAUGCUACAAUGGCUGGUACAGAGAGUGGCGAGCCUGUGAUGGUGAGCGAAUCUCGGAAAGCCGGUCUCAGUUCGGAUUGGGGUCUGCAACUCGACCUCAUGAAGUCGGAGUCGCUAGUAAUCGCAGAUCAGCAACGCUGCGGUGAAUACGUUCCCGGGGCUUGUACACACCGCCCGUCAAGUCAUGAAAGUUGGUAACACCCGAAGCCGGUGGCCUAACCGUUGUGGGGGAGCCGUCGAAGGUGGGACUGGUGAUUAGGACUAAGU
This 1443-nucleotide ribosomal RNA is filed under the name uncultured organism. Its description in RNAcentral is "partial small subunit ribosomal RNA". It matches the Rfam family "Bacterial small subunit ribosomal RNA". The record is from RNAcentral.